CCUACGGGAGGCAGCAGUGGGGAAUAUUGGGCAAUGGAGGAAACUCUGACCCAGCAACGCCGCGUGCAUGAUGAAGGUCCUCGGAUUGUUAAGUUCUUUUCUAAGGGGAGUAGAAAGUGACGGUACCUUAGGAAUAAGCCUCGGCUAACUACGUGCCAGCAGCCGCGGUAAUACGUAGGAGGCAAGCGUUAUCCGGAUUGAAUGGGCGUAAAGGGUGCGUAGGUGGUUUGAUAAGUUGGUAGCGUAACUCCGAGGCUCAACCUCGGCACUACUACCAAAACUGUCGGACUUGAGUGCAGGAGGGGCAACUGGAAUGCAUAGUGUAGCGGUGGAAUGCGUAGAUAUUA
Molecule: ribosomal RNA, 347 nt
Filed under: uncultured bacterium
Lineage: Bacteria
Description: partial 16S ribosomal RNA
Rfam family: Bacterial small subunit ribosomal RNA
Source: RNAcentral